AAGCGGAGGAUCCGUAGGGGAACCUGCGCAUAUCAAUAAGCGGAGGACUCCGUAGGGGACCCUGUCCCCGGAACCGCGCCCGCCGAAGCGCUCUGUGAACCCUGAUGAAGAUGGGCUGUCUGAGUACUAUGAAAAUUGUCAAAACUUUCAACAAUGGAUCUCUUGGUUCCGGCAUCGAUGAAGAACGCAGCGAAAUGCGAUAAGUAAUGUGAAUUGCAGAAUUCCGUGAAUCAUCGAAUCUUUGAACGCACAUUGCGCCCCCUGGCAUUCCGGGGGGCAUGCCUGUCCGAGCGUCAUUUCUGCCCUCAAGCACGGCUUGUGUGUUGGGUGCGGUCCCCCCGGGGACCUGCCCGAAAGGCAGCGGCGACGUCCGUCUGGUCCUCGAGCGUAUGGGGCUUUGUCACUCGCUCGGGAAGGACUGGCGGGGGUUGGUCACCACCAAAAUUUUACCACGGUUGACCUCGGAUCAGGUAGGAGUUACCCGCUGAACUUAAGCAUAUCAAUAAGCGG
This 510-nucleotide ribosomal RNA is filed under the name Penicillium sp. BJ41. RNAcentral's name for it is "eukaryotic LSU rRNA". The stretch from base 143 to 296 matches the Rfam family "5.8S ribosomal RNA". Lineage: Eukaryota; Fungi; Ascomycota; Eurotiomycetes; Eurotiales; Aspergillaceae. The record is from RNAcentral.